Molecule: ribosomal RNA, 160 nt
Filed under: uncultured eukaryote
Lineage: Eukaryota
Description: partial 18S ribosomal RNA
Source: RNAcentral
CGAAGUAAGUUUAAAGACGGGAUAGUCGAUCUACCGUGCCAUAACCGCAUGGUACCGUCAUUGCCCAUUGCCCCUUAAUCCCAAGCUAAGGCCUCUCCCUCGGACUCUUUGCCGAUGGUGUAGGUUCCUUCCGUCGUCCGCGCGUUUAAUGGGUUAGGGU